UUGGAGGGCAAGUCUGGUGCCAGCAGCCGCGGUAAUUCCAGCUCCAAUAGCGUAUAUUAAAGUUGUUGCAGUUAAAAAGCUCGUAGUUGAAUUUCGGGGUUAGUAGGUUGGUCAUGCCUCUGGUAUGUACUGAUCUCACUGAUUCCUCCCUCUUGACGAACUGUAAUGUCAUUAAUUUGGUGUUGCAGGAAAUCAGGACUGUUACUUUGAAAAAAUUAGAGUGUUUAAAGCAGGCUUAGGCUUGAAUACAUUAGCAUGGAAUAAUGAAAUAGGACGUUUGAACCUAUUUUGUUGGUUUCUAGGAUCGACGUAAUGAUUAAUAGGGAUAGUUGGGGGCAUUAGUAUUCAAUUGUCAGAGGUGAAAUUCUUGGAUUUAUUGAAGACUAACUACUGCGAAAGCAUUUGCCAAGGAUGUUUUCAUUAAUCAAGAACGAAAGUUAGGGGAUCGAAGACGAUCAGAUACCGUCGUAGUCUUAACCAUAAACUAUGCCGACUAGGGAUCGGAUGAUGUUAAUUUUUUAAUGACUCAUUCGGCGCCUUACGGGAAAC
Molecule: ribosomal RNA, 549 nt
Filed under: uncultured Glomeromycotina
Lineage: Eukaryota; Fungi; Glomeromycota
Description: SSU rRNA
Rfam family: Eukaryotic small subunit ribosomal RNA
Source: RNAcentral